Salvelinus fontinalis (brook trout) is the source of this 1476-nucleotide long non-coding RNA. RefSeq lists it as uncharacterized. The record is from RefSeq and is a predicted model, not a curated record. NCBI's taxonomy places the organism in Eukaryota, Metazoa, Chordata, Actinopteri, Salmoniformes, Salmonidae. The transcript is spliced from 3 exons.
UAAUAGCUAUUUAAGGAUGAGAUGGAUGGCGUUUAAAAAUAUCUAAUUACCCAAAGGGGUGAAAUGAACUCCGUCACGCAGAAAUAGGCGGGGCUAUUAUGUUUCAUGUGAGGAUGGCUAACCCAGUGCCUUUCCAAAACCUGAACAAAUUUGAUAAGCGCAUUGUUUACACAUUUCCUUGCUCUGUCUAUUUUGGAAGGCCUGCCAGCACUCCACAGGGACCUUGAGGUGACGUAGGAGAAAGGAAGCACCAGUAAGGGGCCUGCAGGCAUCCUUCAUCUCUUUUACAGCCUUGGCUGAAAGCAAUGUGCAACAUCGUAAAUUGUCCGAAAAUCCGAAAAUGGUGAUAGAAAAUGGUGUUUCAUAAAGAAGGAGAGGAUGGAAUGUCCACUACCAAGUAUUCUGAUGAGUUUAACAAUUAUUCUUUAUCUCUUCCUUUGAAAUGAUUCUGAGGCCUUAUGCGUUGUGACAGCAGUUAUUGAAAUUCUGCAAGUAUAAAGGUACCCAAAUCCGGCAGUUAACGGAGCUCCCAAAUUAAGAAAGGCCUGGCCAUUUGUUUAUUUUGCUUCUACUUUUUACCCCCAUGCAGACACCUGCAUACACAACCCACCCAUCUAUACUUGUGAAUAUUUGUUAGUGGUGUUAAUACCAUGUCUGAUUUAUUAUGUGUGGUCUUUUUAUUUGGUUUUAGUAUGUUCUUCACAGGUGUGAAAGGAUACACCUUUAAAGGACACGCAAAACAAAGUUUUCUGAAGUAUCUGGAGUCAGAAUUUUGGCUGCACACAGGUUAUGGUGAUAGUGACCCCGAAUGGUAUCUAGAUGUAUGGAAGGGAUAAUUUGACCGAGAUCAGUGGGAGCCCCACCCCCUCCAACCGGCUAAAGUAAUGGCGUCCACUACAGCCCUGUCCACUACAGCCCACCACUUCUAUCUGAGACCUGAAUCCAAGCCAGCAACAUAUGCAGCAUUCAGUCGAAGCUAUCGACUGCCUUUUCUCUCAGGAGUGCUGCAUGAGUUGUCCCGAGAUCGAGUGCGUGGGGUGAGCAUGGAGGGAUCACUUCUAAAGGCAGAAUGGACAUUAAAGGAUGUUUGCGGCAGCUCAGGUGAGAGAUCGUCUAGUUUGGAAAAUCCGAGUAUCCCUUAGAUAUUGACAUCGGGACCCACUCUGACAGGCAUGAGUUACAUCAAAUUGGGUUUGUCACAUGCGCCGAAUACAACAGGUGUAGUAGACCUUACAGUGAAAUGCUUACUUACAAGCCCUUAACCAACAAUGCAGUUUUAAGAAAAAUACCUAAAAAAAUAAGAAAUAAAGUAACAUAAUUAAAGAGCAGCAGUAAAAUAAUAAUAGCGAGGCUAUAUACAGGGGGUACCGGUACAGUGUCAAUGUGCAGGGGCACCGGUUAGUUGAGGUAAUUGAGGUAAUAUAUGCAUGUGGGUAGAGUUAUUAAAGUGACUUAUGCAUAGAUAAUAACAGAGAG